UCCAACUGUACUGACGAUAUCCUCCAAACUACAGUCUGUGCCGAGUCCAACUGUACUGACGAUAUACUCCAAACUACAGUCUGUUCUUCCAGAUUAAGAGAUGGCGUCUCAUUUUUCAAUGCCAUGCCCAAAUUAAGAGAUGGCAUCUCAUUUUUCACUGCCACGCCUAAAAUAAGUUAUGAUGUCUCAUUUUUAACUGCCAUACCCAAAUUUUGUGAUGACAUCUUGCUUUUCACUUCUACGUCCAAUUUAAGUAGUGAGGCCUUUCCAUCUUUUUUCCCAGUGAUGUCCAAAUAUAGUGAUGAUGUCCCUCCAGUUCUAGGUUAUGUCACGUCUGACUGCAGAGAUGAAGCUCUCCAAGCUUCAGUCUGUUCUGUAGCUUACUUGAGUGUCGGUGUCCCUCAGUCUCCACUCCACAAAACAUUCGACUGUAGAGACAAUGUCCCCCAAGCUACAACCUGUGCAACACCUGACUGUAGUGUUUAUGCUCCCCGAACUCCGUCAAGCCAAUUACAGGAUGAUGAGACAACAAUUAUUGACAUCAAUUCACACCGUUAUGAAAUCGGCUGUCAGUUGGGUAAAGGAGGCUUUGGAAUCGUGUACGCAGCAACUCGUUUAAAUGAUGGCCUACAGGUGGCAAUAAAAUUGGCAUCCAACAAGAUUACAAAGUUCAUCAGCAUUGAUGGUUAUUCUGGACGUCUUCCUCUGGAGGUUGCUUUGCAAAUUCUUGCAAAUAAAGGCCCCAGGGUGGAGGAAAUCGUUCAGCUUCUGGACUGGCGGCUGGAUCCUGACUGUUACUUUAUGGUCCUAGAGCGGCCCGUGCCCUGUCAGUCCUUGUUUCAGUAUUUAAAGUGCUACAAAGGCAUCAUGGACGAGGACUUUGCUCGAGUUAUAAUGAACCAGGCAAUAUUUGCGGCUCGGAUGUGCUGCCUUCGUGGAGUGUUGCACCGGGACAUAAAGCUGGAAAACCUUCUGAUCAACCCGGACACACUCGAAGUCAAAUUGAUUGACUUUGGCUGUGGUGCAAUCCUCACCGACGGGGGUUACACGUCCUUUACUGGCACAAGAGAGUACUGCCCUCCUGAGUAUCACAUGACCGGCCAGUACCUCGGGGAACCAGCGACAGUGUGGUCACUCGGGAUCCUCUUGUUUGUGAUUCUUUUCCGUAAAUAUCCAAAGAGACGACACCUGCACAAGAUCAAUGAUAAAAACUGGACUAAAGCUGGCCUGUCAAAAGAAUGCUGCGAUUUAAUUCGCCGGUGUCUACAGAUCGACCCAAAGCAGCGGAUUGAACUGGGGAAACUCAGUCUCCACGACUGGCUUAUGACUGCAGACAAGGAGAAUAACAACGACACAAUAAUGGACAUCAAUUCAUGCCGUUAUGAAAUCAUCUGUCAGCUGGGUGAUGGAGGCUUCGGAACCGUUUAUGCAGCGACUCGUUUGGACGACGGCCUACAGGUGGCGAUAAAAGUCGUCUCCAGCAGGAACAGAAAGUUCAUCAGUAUUGACGGUUGUUCCAAGCCUCUUCCUCUGGAGGUUGCUUUGCAAAUCCUUGCAGACGGAGACCCCAGGGUCGAGGAAAUCAUCCAGCUUCUGGACUGGCGGGUGGAGUCUGACCACUACAUUUUGGUGCUAGAGCGUCCCGUUCCCUUUGAGGAACUGAACUGGUUUCUCCUGCAGCAAAUGGGUACCAUUCAAGAGGACAUGGCACGAGUUAUAAUGCGCCAGGCAACAUUCGCAGCUCAAACAUGCUGCAGACGUGGAGUGUUUCAUCAGGACAUAAAGCUGGAAAAGCUUCUGAUCAACCCGGACACACUCAAAGUCAAGUUAACUGACUUUGGGUGUGGUGACUUCCUCAGCUGUGUGGGUUACACGUCCUUUGUUGGCACAAGAGAGUACUGCCCUCCUGAGUAUCACAUGACCGGCCAGUACCACGGGGAACCAGCGACAGUGUGGUCACUCGGGAUCCUCUUGUUUCUUAUGCUUUGUGGGGAUUUUCCAAAUACACCAGACCUGCACAUGAUCGACGGUCACAACUGGACCAAAGAUGGCUUGUCGGAAGAAUGCAGCGAUUUUAUUUGCUGCUGUCUGCAAAUCAAUCCAAAAGAGCGGAUUGAACUGGAGAAACUUAGUCUCCACGACUGGUUUAUGUUUUUUGUUUAGGAUUGCUGAAAUGAGGGGAGCAAAAGAAAAUAGUAAUUCUGUCAAUUAUCGCCAGGAUCAACUGGAAGUUCCUUGUGAAGAACAGAGGACACGUUGUGUACGAAUGUGCAAUUAGAAGAAAAUUUUAAUAUGAAAGCUCAGAAUAUGUUUUUCAGCCAUUUUGACAGCCCUACAACUUCCCCUUUAUUUGCAUCUGGAGGUGAGCUGAACGCCCAAUGUGCAAAGACUCCUAAAGAACCGGACAGCAGAUCUCCCUGUCCUCCGCAAGGCCGCCCAAUGCUCUUCUG
This is an RNA transcript of Carassius auratus (goldfish), 2450 nucleotides long. RefSeq lists it as uncharacterized. The transcript has 14 exons. NCBI's taxonomy places the organism in Eukaryota, Metazoa, Chordata, Actinopteri, Cypriniformes, Cyprinidae. The record is from RefSeq and is a predicted model, not a curated record.